This 501-nucleotide ribosomal RNA is filed under the name uncultured bacterium. RNAcentral's name for it is "partial 16S ribosomal RNA". It matches the Rfam family "Bacterial small subunit ribosomal RNA", at positions 30 to 523 of the family's 1533-position model. The record is from RNAcentral.
AUUGAACGCUGGCAGCAGGCUUAACACAUGCAAGUCGAGCGGGGGAAGGUAGCUUGCUACCGGUCCUAGCGGCGGACGGGUGAGUAAUGCUUAGGAAUCUGCCUAUUAGUGGGGGACAACAUCUCGAAAGGGAUGCUAAUACCGCAUACGUCCUACGGGAGAAAGCAGGGGAUCUUCGGACCUUGCGCUAAUAGAUGAGCCUAAGUCGGAUUAGCUAGUUGGUGGGGUAGAGGCCUACCAAGGCGACGAUCUGUAGUGGGUCUGAGAGGAUGAUCCGCCACACUGGGACUGAGACACGGCCCAGACUCCUACGGGAGGCAGCAGUGGGGAAUAUUGGACAAUGGGGGGAACCCUGAUCCAGCCAUGCCGCGUGUGUGAAGAAGGCCUUAUGGUUGUAAAGCACUUUAAGCGAGGAGGAGGCUCUUUUGGUUAAUACCCAAGAUGAGUGGACGUUACUCGCAGAAUAAGCACCAGCUAACUCUGUGCCAGCCGCUGCGGUAA